AGAGUUUGAUCCUGGCUCAGGAUGAACGCUGGCGGUAUGCUUAACACAUGCAAGUCGAACGAAAGUAUUUAUACUUUAGUGGCGAACGGGUGCGUAAUACGUGAGAAUCUGCCCUUAGGAGGAGGAUAACUGCUGGAAACGGCUGCUAACACUCCAUAUGUCGAGAGAUGAAAUAAUUUAUUGCCUAAGGAUGAGCUCACGCCUGAUUAGCUAGUUGGUGAGGUAAUGGCUCACCAAGGCCACGAUCAGUAGCUGGUUUGAGAGAACGAUCAGCCACACUGGGACUGAGACACGGCCCAGACUCCUCCGGGAGGCAGCAGUGAGGAAUUUUCCGCAAUGGGCGAAAGCCUGACGGAGCAAUACCGCGUGAGGGAUGAAGGAUUUUGGUCUGUAAACCUCUUUUCUCAAGAAAGAAGUUCUGACGGUACUUGAGGAAUAAGCAUCGGCUAACUCCGUGCCAGCAGCCGCGGUAAUACGGGGGAUGCAAGCGUUAUCCGGAAUCAUUGGGCGUAAAGCGCCUGUAGGUUGUUUAAUAAGUCUGUUGUUAAAGCCUAGGGCUUAACCCUAGAAAAGCAAUGGAAACUAUUAGACUAGAGUAUGGUAGGGGUAGAGGGAAUUUCUAGUGUAGCGGUGAAAUGCGUAGAUAUUAGAAAGAACACCGGUGGCGAAAGCGCUCUACUGGACCAUUACUGACACUCAGAGGCGAAAGCUAGGGUAGCAAAAGG
Molecule: ribosomal RNA, 725 nt
Filed under: uncultured bacterium
Lineage: Bacteria
Description: bacterial SSU rRNA
Rfam family: Bacterial small subunit ribosomal RNA
Source: RNAcentral